This is a long non-coding RNA of Lycium barbarum (goji berry), 1051 nucleotides long. RefSeq lists it as uncharacterized. The record is from RefSeq and is a predicted model, not a curated record. Lineage: Eukaryota; Viridiplantae; Streptophyta; Magnoliopsida; Solanales; Solanaceae. The transcript is spliced from 8 exons.
UUCUUUUACCUCAUUUUUACUUUUGUCACUCUUAAAAAUCUAAACCCCCGUCUCUCUCUCUCUUUCCCUUUCUCCACCGCCCUACCCUCGCCCACAUCGCCGCUAGCCAGAUCUGUCGCCACCAAGCCAAGUCCGGCAUCCAGUACGCCAUCGCCAUCAUCUAUUCCAGGCGACUUGAAGCCUGGAGCUGAAGUUAAGAUUACUGGACCUGUUGGGAAAGAAAUGCUCAUGCCAAAGGAUCCCAAUGCUACAGUUGUAAUGCUCGCCACAGGAACUGGAAUAGCUCCUUUCCGUGCAUUCUUGUGGAAAAUGUUCUUUGAGAAGCACGAGGAUUACAAGGUCACUUUCCACUUAGUCUGGACGUCGUAUUGACAAUACUUACCUACAAGGUUCUCCUGUAAACAUUCGGAUAGGCACUAAAGCAUUGGUCCCAGAUUUUGAGGAAGGAAUUAGAGACAUGAGACCCUGGGGACAAAAAGGGGAUAAUCAUACUUCCAGAACUAGGACCUCUGCUUUGUAUGACAUCCUAGAAAGAAAUGAAGCCUAGAGCUGAAGUUAAGAUUACUGGACCUGUUGGGAAAGAAAUGCUCAUGCCAAAGGAUCCCAAUGCUACAGUUGUAAUGCUCGCCACAGGAACUGGAAUAGCUCCUUUCCGUGCAUUCUUGUGGAAAAUGUUCUUUGAGAAGCACGAGGAUUACAAGGUUGGGAAAAGUCAGAAAAUGAGGUUGCAGUUCUAAAGCAGCAACUUGAGGCAGCUGAGCAGCAGAACUUGACUUUGGAUGUUUGCGUCAACCAUCUUGAUGUUUGCGAGGGGUGAAGUAGUCUAAUGUUGUAGACUAACUUAAUGUAGAUUAGUUUAAUGUUUUGUGGAUGUUUACAAAUGUUGAAGUAGUUUAAUGUUGUUUUGAUGUUUGCAAAGGUUGAAGUAGCUUAAGUCUCUUGUGAAUGUUUGAUUGAUGUUUUUAUUCAACUUUGAAGUAGUUUCAAAUUGAAUUUGAUGUAUUGGUGGUUGUAGUAUAUGUGUUGUAAUAGUAGUUUAAUGUUUUAUGUA